This 1635-nucleotide long non-coding RNA is filed under the name Ovis aries (sheep). RNAcentral's name for it is "lncRNA (ENSOARG00000025486.1)". Lineage: Eukaryota; Metazoa; Chordata; Mammalia; Artiodactyla; Bovidae. The record is from RNAcentral.
AUGUGCUUGCUGAGGACGCUUGAGAAAGUACAGGGGAGCGAGAAGCCGGGUGUGAAACGGCCCAGCCAGCGAGAGCGGCAGUCCUGCUGCUCUCUGCUCAUCUCAGGGCCGCGCAGCCUGGCCUUCAGGGCCCCAGGUGUGGCCUGUGGUCACGUUCAGCCCACACCAGCACCCACGGGCAGGGACAGGGAGAGGCGUGGGCUCCAGCCCUGCACUGGGGGCCCAGAAGCCAGCCCCCGUGGGGACAAACACUCAGGGUCUGAUUCUCAGGGCAGUGGGCCUGGCGGCCGCAGACUGAAGACAGAAGCUCAGUUGUGGGCCCUCCAGGUCCUCGAUGAUCUCCUGGAUGCGCUUCUUGGCUGCCUCCACGCAGUCCUUGGCGCCCUUGAGGGUGACCUUGUCGCUCUGCGUGCCGGAGCGCGGGAAGCUGACCAUCACCCCGCCAUACUCCUCGGCGAUCUCCCGCAGCACCUGACCUCUCCGGAUGCCGAAGUGACGGUGGUGCUUGGGGUCCACCAGCAUGCAGUCUUCAACCACGUUGUCCUGGGGGGUUGGGAAGGGUUCAGCAGGAGCCCCUGCUCGCCCGCCUCCCGCAGCCCAGGGCCAGCGCCGCCCGCCCGCCUGGCUCACCAGGUUCUGGAUGAGCGCCUCCAGCUCCCGCUGGGCCUCCCUGACGGCAUCCUCCUUCCCGAUGAUGGUGAUCAGGUCCUGCUCGCGGUCCUCGGCCGCCGCGAAGACGAUGCGCGCCCCCGCGCGGAUGCGCGCCCCGGUGCUGUCCCGCACCUUGCGGAUUUUCCCGCCCCCUUUGCCGAUGAGGAACUUGUGAUACUCAGGCUUGGCGCGGAUGUCAACUGUGAAGCUCUUGGUUUGCUGCAGAAACCAAUCCAGCUUCGUUGGCCUGGCGCCACCUAUGCGGCCCCUGGGACAGCGGGAUGAGGAAGUUCUCCUCACACUGCCACCAACGACCUUCCAAACGGGGCUGUUCGGAUCUCACCAUGGACACCCAGACCAGGCAGCACGUGCAUUCCCUUCCCGCCAUGAACGAGAACCCCAGUCCUGCCCCCGACAGCAGCCUGCGCCUCUGUAAGCUGUUCCCACCUCUCCAGGCCUGGGCACCCCCACGCCGCCUGGCCCCGGGGACAGUGCCUUGCCCAGUGCUCACUCCAGGGCUCCAGGUGACCCAUGCCCCCAGGUCAGAGACUGCCAAGCCAACCAAGGCCGUAUCUGACCAUGAAACCGGAGCCCAGCAGAGGCCCCGGCCCAGUGACCUCGCUGAGCGAUCCUCUGGCAGGGGGUCUGCAGAACUCAAGGGCACACCCCCCAGGCAGACAAGCCCACACUGGGCACUCUCUCCUUUCUCUUGUUGUGAGACCAGCCCCCAAGCUGAACAUCAAAUAACUGAAUUGUUAUCUGUAAGUGCUGGUUUCACAACCAUCACUGAAAAUCUUCAACUUUUCAGACACUCAAACAGCAGCAUUUAAAAAAACUAAAAAACUGGAAAAUUCUGAGAGAGAUGGGAAUACCAGACCACCCGACCUGCCUCUUGAGAAACCCAUAUGCAGGGCAGGAAGCAACAGUUAGAACUGGACACGUGAAAAACUUUUAUAAACGUUUUAAAAUAUUUCUAUAUGACUU